AGAAGACAAAUUCUUUCAAAUCUUCAUAGCCUGACAGAUUGGGACUGAGGGGUAACAGCAAUUGGGAACAAAGGAAGGUCUAGUGGAAGUUCACCAAAAGGGUGGUUUUUUGCAAUCCCAUUGAAACUCCCUAAUCCUCUGUGCUUUCACCGCCGCCUCAUACUUAAACUAAUGAGAUUUGUGCUAUUUUCAUGUCAAUGCUGCUUCUUAUAUUGUGCCCUAAUCAAUUGGGCCUUACUUGAAAAGCCCAUCUCGUCGGGUCGAA
RNAcentral lists this long non-coding RNA (265 nucleotides) under Solanum lycopersicum (tomato). Its description in RNAcentral is "partial TCONS_00117143". Lineage: Eukaryota; Viridiplantae; Streptophyta; Magnoliopsida; Solanales; Solanaceae. The record is from RNAcentral.